RNAcentral lists this ribosomal RNA (468 nucleotides) under uncultured bacterium. RNAcentral describes it as "partial 16S ribosomal RNA". It matches the Rfam family "Bacterial small subunit ribosomal RNA", at positions 28 to 507 of the family's 1533-position model. The record is from RNAcentral.
GAUGAACGCUGGCGGCGUGCUUAACACAUGCAAGUCGAACGGUGAAGGCGGAGCUUGCUCUGCUGGAUCAGUGGCGAACGGGUGAGUAACACGUGAGCAAUCUGCCCCUGACUCUGGGAUAAGCGCUGGAAACGGCGUCUAAUACUGGAUACGAGCUGCGAAGGCAUCUUCAGCAGCUGGAAAGAAUUUCGGUCAGGGAUGAGCUCGCGGCCUAUCAGCUUGUUGGUGAGGUAAUGGCUCACCAAGGCGUCGACGGGUAGCCGGCCUGAGAGGGUGACCGGCCACACUAGGCCUGAGACACGGCCCAGACUCCUACGGGAGGCAGCGGUGGGGAAUAUUGCACAAUGGGCGCGAGCCUGAUGCAGCAACGCCGCGUGAGGGAAGACGGCCCGCGGGUUGUGAACCUCUUUUAGCAGGGAAGAAGCGAAAGUGACGGUACCUGCAGAAAAAGCGCCGGCUAACUACGUG